Molecule: long non-coding RNA, 2337 nt
Filed under: Homo sapiens (human)
Lineage: Eukaryota; Metazoa; Chordata; Mammalia; Primates; Hominidae
Description: HSALNT0360452
Source: RNAcentral
AGCCCAGCUGUCAUUAUUGCUAACAACACGUGCAAGCCGCUACUCAGGGCCAGACCCUCAAGUCCACAGAGAUGAACACGACUCCUGCCCUGGGGAAUUUGUGGUUUAUGGUUCAGGAGUUAAUGGAUUCAGGUAGAACAGCCUGAGGCAGGCCCAUCCAGGGCCUACUUCAAAUCACCAAGGUGACGUCACUGAAUGCGAGGUUCGGAAGGAUGCACCCCUGCGCUCUGGAAGGAAGCCAGUGUCAGCCAACUCAGCACCCACUGCCCGGCUACCUCGUGUUCCUUCAUCUUCGUCACUCCGCACUUUGAGUGAAAUAACUCCUUCUUCGCUUUCCCCUCUAAAUCCCACCUACCUCACUCCGCACUUAACACAUCAGGUGAAAUAACUCCUUCACUUUCCCCCUUCAAAUCCUAUCUCACAUUGAAGAAAACAGUCCGAGCCAAGUCUCUGCAUGUCUCUGGGCCUCAGUUUCCCCGUCCAUAUGGUGGGAUGACUUCUAAGCCGUGUCUCUCCGCCAUCAUCCUUGCCUGAAGUCUGGGAGCCCUGGUCAUGCGCACUGCCCCUGUGGACCACCAGGGAGCAGCCUUUCCCCACCAAAGACACUGGCCUCUCCGAGUUCCCGUCGGUGUCCUUCUUGGACACAGCCUGGGUAUUGUGGGGCCUUGCCUGGCUUAUGAAUCGGCGAUUGUGCCCAGCCCCGAGCGGGCAUCUACAGAAAGGGCCCAUUGUCUGCAGUGAGGCUUUUUGUUCCAGCAGUGGCCUGGGGAAACUGGGAUUGGGCUGGGGGCCUGACUGGUUCCCAGGGGCUCCUGGUGGGUGUUGGGGUGUGAACCCAGGCGGACCCCUCUCCGCUCUCCCCCGCUGUCCGCCCCGAUCCCAUCUACCAGGCUGCUGUGCCGGGCACCGCUCACCUGUGCCUCGGCUCUGUCCGAGAUUCUCGCCCCUGCAGACCUCCUCUGCCACCCUCUGAGGCCCAUAGCACGUGCUCCUUCCUCCAGGCCGGGGUUCCUGUUACUUCCUUUAGCCUCAUUCAAUCCAACUGCACUUUAAGAGGGUAGGUGUCGGGAGCUGGGCUUCUCCCUGAGAUUUUGGCUCCAGGCAUUACCGCAGCCCGGUUUUCUUUUCCCUUUCACUGCAGCGGAGGGACGCCCAGGCUUUGGGCGCCGCCUGGGUCUGCAGCAGAGGCAGUGGCCUAACCCUGAGAGGUAGCCCAAGGUCAGGCCAGGGUCUGCGUCCUCCCCUCAGCUCUGCUGUCACAGACGACUGUGAACCCGCGGAGCUCCCAUCUCUGGAGCCUGGCCUGGGCCAGCGGCUCACAGUGCUGCGUGCGCAGUGCCUGGCUCAAUCCCACCUGCAGCCUGGGAAGUCACAGGGUCACCCAGGGCUCCACGGCCUCCCUGACCACAAAAGGGGAAUCGCUGCAGCUCCUGGCAGUGGGCGUGGUCCCCUGUGAGGCUCCGGGGCUUCCAACACCUGAAAAUAUAAUUAUAAAAGUAAUGUAUUCAUACUUUCAAAAUUCUGGAAAUUACAGAAAAGUAUAAAGGAGGUAUUAAGAAUUAAUAAUUCUACCAACCAGGCAACAAGGUCUUUUGAAGACGUACCAAAAAAAUCAAUUACCACUAGACUCCAACUACAAGAAAUAUUCAAGAAAGCUUUUUAAGCUGAAGAAAAAUAAUACUAAAUAGAAACAUGGAGCUACACAAAGGAAUGAAGAGGACCAGAAAUGGAGGCUACAUUGUCAAGCAUAAAUACUUUCUCUUAUCAUUUAAGUAUCUUUAAAAGAUGGUCAAUUGUGUAAAGCAAAAAUGAUAGGAAUGUACUCUGGGGCUUAUAAAAUAUUUAGAAGUAAAAUGUAUGACAUAAUAGCAUAAAGGCCAAAUGAAAGAUCCUUUUGGACACACUGUGUCUUUUUUCCCUGCUGCUUUGAGGGUUUUCUCUUUUUUGUUGAUUUUAAGCAAUUUGAAUAUGGUAUGAUGAAGUCUUAUUUUCUUUAUGUUUCUUCUGCUUGUGAUUCAUCGAGCUUCUUGUAUUUGUGGGUUCACAGUUUUCAUAACAUUUUAAAAAUAUUUGAACACUUUUACUUCAAAUAUUCUUGGUCUCUUUUCAUUCUCCUUUUCUCAAAAUAUAAUGCUGUAAAGUCUUUAUAAUAUACAUGACGUGGUAUACAAUUGGUUGAAAGUUGAAUGUGAUUAAAGUUGUGUACUAUAAGCUAUAAAUUUCACUAAAAUAACACAGCACAAAGUUAUAGCUAACAAGCCAACAAAGAAUAUUAUGAAUAACUUUAGGCCAAUAAAUCCAACAACUUACAUGAAAUGGAAAAGUUUCUUACAAGAC